GGUAUUCUACCCUUACCACCAGGGAUUUGGGUUUUUUGUUUUUUCCUUUUGAAAACAGGAAAAUUUAUUUCCACAAAUGUGUAUCUUCUUCUCAGCUGAGAAGAAAUUAAUGUCUAUUUUUAAAAUUGUAGUUCUUAUGAACUAGGUAUUCAUUGUCUCCAACCAAUGGCUUGCCAAUACAUUGUGAACAUUCUUGAAUAAACGUGUUGAUAACUAUUAUGUACUCACUAGGAUGUAUGUUCAGGAAUUAUCAUAAUUGUUUGUCUUCCAAGAACUAAACCCUGGACAUGGACAAGGAUUUAAUCAAACAAUUGCACCAAAUAAUGCAGAAUUAGAACUUUUAUCAUGGAAAGUUACAUGAAAUGUAAUUAGAGAAUUCAGUCAAACCAGGAGGCAUCUGCUACGAGGCACUGCUUAUUGGGCUGUAAUUCCUGUGAGAAGGAGUUCCCUUGAUCAUGAUGAAGAAACAUUUGCUGAAGAGAAGAGCCCAAGAGCUGACACAGGCAUAGAUAGGAGCUAAAGUCCAAGACAUUUGUUGUUAGCAACAUUUUCCUUGAUCCUUAAGUUUAAUACUUAGACAAAUAUUCUUUAUUAUUAAUGAGAAAAACAUACAAUUAGUUAUAGGCUGGUUGUUAUGGAAGAACAUUUUAUUUCAGUCUAAAACUAAUACUGUACUUUCCCAUACAGUCUUGAUUUUAGUUUCAGAUCUUAUAAGACUUAACAGAAAUACAUUGGAAACUGUGAACAUAACAUACUUUUCUAGAGAUAACUAGGCAGAACUUAAAAAGGGAAUUAAAAUAAUAUGUCUCAUUUCAAAAGAGAAGGACCUGGUUGUGGUUGACCAAUCUAUAUUAUGAAGAAAAAGCCUCGUUCAGGUGCUAGGUUGAUAGAGGAUAGUGUUAAUAGAUGAAGGUAAGGGACAUAGUGUUGGGGUUUGGUGACAAAUACCUUUACUACUUGAGCUGUCUUCUCAGCUCAGACUAUGCUUUUCAAAGCAUAUUUUAACCUCUAAGAGUGACAAAAAUGUUUAGAGUAAUUUAUUUAUUAUGAAUACAGCAUUCUGAAUGACAGUAUAGGUAACAUUGAUACAUAUUUCUUUGCAGUACCAAAAGGAAUAGUGAGUUCAUAAACCACCACUACUUCAAAAGCUUAUAAUAUCUGAGACAAGAACUUACUGAGUUCAUUAACCCAGAAGGGCCAGCUGUAUCUCCUAAGUGGGACUGAAGAUUGGUCUGGGCAUUGUUCAGAAAUUGCUGUGUACCUCUGCUUUAGACCUCGUUUUUCUAGCAAAGCAUAUUUCUAAAGACACUAGUUCUGUGAUAAAUGCAUUGUAUUUCUGUCCCCGAGGGCUCUGUUAUCAAAUAAGGUUAUAAUUAAAGAAUGGUGGUAGGAUAUAUAGCAUAUAUUAGGAUCUAUGAGUACUAGUUUCAAAUCUCCAAUGAAAUUGCUAAUAACCUAAUUAGUUAUUUAUUGUGUCCCAUACACUAUACCAAGAAUUUUAUAGGUAAUAUAUUCAAUCUGUGAAUUUUAUUGUAUACUUUAAUAUAUAUGAAUGUGAUCGAAAAUCUGGUUUUGUUUUUAUCUUUUAUUGAAAGUAGAUUUAUUUUUUCUUCAUGUAGUAUAUUCUAAUUAUGCUUUCUGCUCUCUCUACUCUUUCAGUUUAUCCCUAAUUCCCCUCCCUGGAUCCCUUUCAGUCACUCAAUAGAAGACAAACAGGCUUCUAAAGGAUAGUAAUAAAAUAACAUUAUGAUAAAACAAAAACUGAUGCAUUAGAAUUGG
RNAcentral lists this long non-coding RNA (1779 nucleotides) under Mus musculus (house mouse). Its description in RNAcentral is "long non-coding RNA chr2:48961955-48963734". The record is from RNAcentral. Lineage: Eukaryota; Metazoa; Chordata; Mammalia; Rodentia; Muridae.